CCUACGGGAGGCAGCAGUAGGGAAUAUUGCUCAAUGGGGGAAACUCUGAAGCAGCAACGCCGCGUGGAGGAUGAAGGUUUUCGGAUUGUAAAAUCCUUUUGUUAGAGAAGAUAAUGACGGUAUGUAACGAAUAAGCACCGGCUAACUCCGUGCAAGUAGCCGCGGUAAUACGGAGGGUGCAAGCGUUACUCGGAAUCACUGGGCGUAAAGAGCACGCAGGCGGGAUAGCAAGUCAGUUGUGAAAUCCUAUGGCUUAACCAUAGAACUGCAAUUGAAACUGUUAUUCUAGAGUAUGGGAGAGGUAGGUGGAAUUCGUGGUGUAGCUGUAAAAUCCGUAGAGAUCAAGAGGAAUACUCAUUGCGAAGGCGACCUGCUAGAACAUAACUGACGCUGAUGCGCGAAAGCGUGGGGAGCAAACAGGAUUAGAUACCCUUGUAGUC
Molecule: ribosomal RNA, 440 nt
Filed under: uncultured bacterium
Lineage: Bacteria
Description: partial 16S ribosomal RNA
Rfam family: Bacterial small subunit ribosomal RNA
Source: RNAcentral